AAAUUGAAGAGUUUGAUCAUGGCUCAGAUUGAACGCUGGCGGCAGGCCUAACACAUGCAAGUCGAACGGUAACAGGAAGCAGCUUGCUGCUUUGCUGACGAGUGGCGGACGGGUGAGUAAUGUCUGGGAAACUGCCUGAUGGAGGGGGAUAACUACUGGAAACGGUGGCUAAUACCGCAUAACGUCGCAAGACCAAAGAGGGGGACCUUCGGGCCUCUUGCCAUCAGAUGUGCCCAGGUGGGAUUAGCUAGUUGGUGAGGUAACGGCUCACCAAGGCGACGAUCCCUAGCUGGUCUGAGAGGAUGACCAGCCACACUGGAACUGAGACACGGUCCAGACUCCUACGGGAGGCAGCAGUGGGGAAUAUUGCACAAUGGGCGCAAGCCUGAUGCAGCCAUGCCGCGUGUAUGAAGAAGGCCUUCGGGUUGUAAAGUACUUUCAGCGGGGAGGAAGGUGUUGUGGUUAAUAACCGCAGCAAUUGACGUUACCCGCAGAAGAAGCACCGGCUAACUCCGUGCCAGCAGCCGCGGUAAUACGGAGGGUGCAAGCGUUAAUCGGAAUUACUGGGCGUAAAGCGCACGCAGGCGGUCUGUCAAGUCGGAUGUGAAAUCCCCGGGCUCAACCUGGGAACUGCAUUCGAAACUGGCAGGCUUGAGUCUUGUAGAGGGGGGUAGAAUUCCAGGUGUAGCGGUGAAAUGCGUAGAGAUCUGGAGGAAUACCGGUGGCGAAGGCGGCCCCCUGGACAAAGACUGACGCUCAGGUGCGAAAGCGUGGGGAGCAAACAGGAUUAGAUACCCUGGUAGUCCACGCCGUAAACGAUGUCUACUUGGAGGUUGUGCCCUUGAGGCGUGGCUUCCGGAGCUAACGCGUUAAGUAGACCGCCUGGGGAGUACGGCCGCAAGGUUAAAACUCAAAUGAAUUGACGGGGGCCCGCACAAGCGGUGGAGCAUGUGGUUUAAUUCGAUGCAACGCGAAGAACCUUACCUGGUCUUGACAUCCACGGAAGUUUUCAGAGAUGAGAAUGUGCCUUCGGGAACCGUGAGACAGGUGCUGCAUGGCUGUCGUCAGCUCGUGUUGUGAAAUGUUGGGUUAAGUCCCGCAACGAGCGCAACCCUUAUCCUUUGUUGCCAGCGAUUAGGUCGGGAACUCAAAGGAGACUGCCAGUGAUAAACUGGAGGAAGGUGGGGAUGACGUCAAGUCAUCAUGGCCCUUACGACCAGGGCUACACACGUGCUACAAUGGCGCAUACAAAGAGAAGCGACCUCGCGAGAGCAAGCGGACCUCAUAAAGUGCGUCGUAGUCCGGAUUGGAGUCUGCAACUCGACUCCAUGAAGUCGGAAUCGCUAGUAAUCGUGGAUCAGAAUGCCACGGUGAAUACGUUCCCGGGCCUUGUACACACCGCCCGUCACACCAUGGGAGUGGGUUGCAAAAGAAGUAGGUAGCUUAACCUUCGGGAGGGCGCUUACCACUUUGUGAUUCAUGACUGGGGUGAAGUCGUAACAAGGUAACCGUAGGGGAACCUGCGGUUGGAUCACCUCCUUA
This 1542-nucleotide ribosomal RNA is filed under the name Salmonella enterica subsp. enterica serovar Inverness. Its description in RNAcentral is "bacterial SSU rRNA". It matches the Rfam family "Bacterial small subunit ribosomal RNA". Lineage: Bacteria; Pseudomonadati; Pseudomonadota; Gammaproteobacteria; Enterobacterales; Enterobacteriaceae. The record is from RNAcentral.